This 468-nucleotide ribosomal RNA is filed under the name uncultured bacterium. Its description in RNAcentral is "partial 16S ribosomal RNA". It matches the Rfam family "Bacterial small subunit ribosomal RNA", at positions 28 to 507 of the family's 1533-position model. The record is from RNAcentral.
GAUGAACGCUGGCGGCGUGCUUAACACAUGCAAGUCGAACGGAAAGGCCCGGCUUUUGUUGGGUUCUCGUUUGGCGAACGGGUGAGUAACACGUGAGUAACCCCCCCUUGUCUGUGUGGUAACUUCAGGAAACUGGGGCGAAUACCGGGGAGGAGCUCCUGCUGCGUGGUGGUGAUUGGUAAGAGUCGGCGGUUGGGGCUGGAUUCGCGGCUUAUGAGCUGGUUGGGGGGGUAGGGGCGUCCCAGGGCUUUGACGGGUAGCCGACAUGAGAGGGUGAACGGCCACCUUGGGACUGAGAUACGGCCCAGAAUGCAACGGGCGGCAGCAGUGGGGAAUAUUGCACAAUGGGCGGAAGUCUGAUGCAGAAACGCCGCGUGCGGGAUGCCGGCCUUCGGGUUGUAAACCGCUUUCGCCUGUGCCGAAGCGUGAGUGACGGUAAUGGGUAAAGAAGCACCGGCUAACUACGUG